RNAcentral lists this microRNA precursor (92 nucleotides) under Caenorhabditis remanei. RNAcentral describes it as "mir-54 microRNA precursor family". It matches the Rfam family "mir-54 microRNA precursor family". Lineage: Eukaryota; Metazoa; Nematoda; Chromadorea; Rhabditida; Rhabditidae. The record is from Rfam by way of RNAcentral.
GACGAGCCCUGACUGGGAUAUGAAAUCACGUGAACAGCGUUCUGAGUACAUGUCUGUACCCGUAAUCUUCAUAAUCCAAGCCAGGGUUCGCC